This is a small nuclear RNA of Balaenoptera musculus (blue whale), 107 nucleotides long. The record is from Ensembl. NCBI's taxonomy places the organism in Eukaryota, Metazoa, Chordata, Mammalia, Artiodactyla, Balaenopteridae.
GUGCUCACUUCAGCAACACAUAUACUAAAAUUGGAACAAUACAGAUAAGAUUAGCAUGGCCCCUGUGCAAAGAUGACAUGCAAAUUCGUGAAGCAUUCCAUAUUUCU